AGCGAACGCUGGCGGCAGGCCUAACACAUGCAAGUCGAACGAACUCUUCGGAGUUAGUGGCGGACGGGUGAGUAACACGUGGGAACGUGCCUUUAGGUUCGGAAUAACUCAGGGAAACUUGUGCUAAUACCGAAUGUGCCCUUCGGGGGAAAGAUUUAUCGCCUUUAGAGCGGCCCGCGUCUGAUUAGCUAGUUGGUGAGGUAAAGGCUCACCAAGGCGACGAUCAGUAGCUGGUCUGGGAGGAUGAGCAGCCACAUUGGGACUGAGACACGGCCCAAACUCCUACGGGGGGCAGCAGUGGGGAAUCUUGCGCAAUGGGCGAAAGCCUGACGCAGCCAUGCCGCGUGAAUGAUGAAGGUCUUAGGAUUGUAAAAUUCUUUCACCGGGGACGAUAAUGACGGUACCCGGAGAAGAAGCCCCGGCUAACUUCGUGCCAGCCGCCGCGGUAA
Molecule: ribosomal RNA, 449 nt
Filed under: uncultured bacterium
Lineage: Bacteria
Description: partial 16S ribosomal RNA
Rfam family: Bacterial small subunit ribosomal RNA
Source: RNAcentral